Molecule: ribosomal RNA, 801 nt
Filed under: uncultured bacterium
Lineage: Bacteria
Description: bacterial SSU rRNA
Rfam family: Bacterial small subunit ribosomal RNA
Source: RNAcentral
GGUAACAGGUAGCAAUACGCUGACGAGUGGCGCACGGGUGCGUAACGCGUACACAAUCUGCCUUAUACUGGGGCAUAGCCUUUGGAAACGAAGAAUAAUUCCCCAUAGUUUAUAGAAAAGGCAUCUUUUUUAUAUUAAAGCUCAGGCGGUAUAAGAUGAGUGUGCGUCCGAUUAGGUAGUUGGUAGGGUAACGGCCUACCAAGCCAACGAUCGGUAGCUGGUCUGAGAGGAUGAUCAGCCACACGGGCACUGAGACACGGGCCCGACUCCUACGGGAGGCAGCAGUAGGGAAUAUUGGACAAUGGAGGCAACUCUGAUCCAGCCAUCCCGCGUGAAGGAUUAAGGUCCUAUGGAUUGUAAACUUCUUUUCUCUGGGAAUAAAAAUCACGCUUCUGCGUGACCUGAAGGUACCAGAGGAAUAAGCACCGGCUAACUCCGUGCCAGCAGCCGCGGUAAUACGGAGGGUGCAAGCGUUAUCCGGAUUCACUGGGUUUAAAGGGUGCGUAGGUGGCUUUGUAAGUCAGUGGUGAAAGCCCGGGGCUCAACUCCGGAACUGCCAUUGAUACUGCUUAGCUUGAAUCAGGUCGAGGUGGAUGGAAUGUGACAUGUAGCGGUGAAAUGCUUAGAUAUGUUACAGAACACCGAUUGCGAAGGCAGUUCACUAGACCUGUAUUGACACUGAGGCACGAAAGCGUGGGGAUCAAACAGGAUUAGAUACCCUGGUAGUCCACGCCCUAAACGAUGUAAACUCGACAUUAGCAAUAUACAGUUAGUGUCUUAGCGAAAGCGUUAAGUUUACCA